This 465-nucleotide ribosomal RNA is filed under the name Vreelandella stevensii. Its description in RNAcentral is "partial 16S ribosomal RNA". It matches the Rfam family "Bacterial small subunit ribosomal RNA", at positions 338 to 795 of the family's 1533-position model. Lineage: Bacteria; Pseudomonadati; Pseudomonadota; Gammaproteobacteria; Oceanospirillales; Halomonadaceae. The record is from RNAcentral.
CCUACGGGGAGCAGCAGUGGGGAAUAUUGGACAAUGGGCGAAAGCCUGAUCCAGCCAUGCCGCGUGUGUGAAGAAGGCCUUCGGGUUGUAAAGCACUUUCAGUGGGGAAGAAAGCCUUGGGGCUAAUACCCUCGAGGAAGGACAUCACCCACAGAAGAAGCACCGGCUAACUCCGUGCCAGCAGCCGCGGUAAUACGGAGGGUGCGAGCGUUAAUCGGAAUUACUGGGCGUAAAGCGCGCGUAGGCGGUCUGAUAAGCCGGUUGUGAAAGCCCCGGGCUCAACCUGGGAACGGCAUCCGGAACUGUCAGGCUAGAGUGCAGGAGAGGAAGGUAGAAUUCCCGGUGUAGCGGUGAAAUGCGUAGAGAUCGGGAGGAAUACCAGUGGCGAAGGCGGCCUUCUGGACUGACACUGACGCUGAGGUGCGAAAGCGUGGGUAGCAAACAGGAUUAGAUACCCUAGUAGUA